AGUGAACGCUGGCGGUAGGCCUAACACAUGCAAGUCGAACGGCAGCACAGUAAGAGCUUGCUCUUACGGGUGGCGAGUGGCGGACGGGUGAGGAAUACGUCGGAAUCCACUUUUUCGUGGGGGAUAACGUAGGGAAACUUACGCUAAUACCGCAUACGACCUACGGGUGAAAGCAGGGGAUCUUCGGACCUUGCGCGAUUGAAUGAGCCGAUGUCGGAUUAGCUAGUUGGCGGGGUAAAGGCCCACCAAGGCGACGAUCCGUAGCUGGUCUGAGAGGAUGAUCAGCCACACUGGAACUGAGACACGGUCCAGACUCCUACGGGAGGCAGCAGUGGGGAAUAUUGGACAAUGGGCGCAAGCCUGAUCCAGCCAUACCGCGUGGGUGAAGAAGGCCUUCGGGUUGUAAAGCCCUUUUGUUGGGAAAGAAAAGCAGCAGGUUAAUACCCCGCUGUUCUGACGGUACCCAAAGAAUAAGCACCGGCUAACUUCGU
RNAcentral lists this ribosomal RNA (491 nucleotides) under uncultured bacterium. Its description in RNAcentral is "partial 16S ribosomal RNA". It matches the Rfam family "Bacterial small subunit ribosomal RNA", at positions 29 to 506 of the family's 1533-position model. The record is from RNAcentral.